Acanthosepion pharaonis is the source of this 102-nucleotide non-coding RNA. The record is from the annotation of a GenBank genome assembly. Lineage: Eukaryota; Metazoa; Mollusca; Cephalopoda; Sepiida; Sepiidae.
CCGCAUCCGGUUCAAACACCAGUUCCCGUACAAUCACCGAAGUUAAGCAACGCCGAGCCUGAUCAGUACAUAGAUGGGUGACCUCUUCAGAAUAACAAGUGC